AAAGUACUCCCUCCGUUCGAAAUUACUUGUCUUGGAAAUGGAUAUAAAUAGAUGUAUUUAAAACUAAAAUACGUCUAGAUAUAUCCAUUUCUCCGACAAGUAAUUUCGGGCGGAUGGCAGUACACC
Molecule: non-coding RNA, 126 nt
Organism: Triticum aestivum (bread wheat)
Lineage: Eukaryota; Viridiplantae; Streptophyta; Magnoliopsida; Poales; Poaceae
Source: Rfam